RNAcentral lists this unclassified non-coding RNA (472 nucleotides) under uncultured Diversispora. RNAcentral describes it as "SSU rRNA". It matches the Rfam family "Eukaryotic small subunit ribosomal RNA", at positions 569 to 1040 of the family's 1831-position model. The record is from RNAcentral. Lineage: Eukaryota; Fungi; Glomeromycota; Glomeromycetes; Diversisporales; Diversisporaceae.
AGCAGCCGCGGUAAUUCCAGCUCCAAUAGCGUAUAUUAAAGUUGUUGCAGUUAAAAAGCUCGUAGUUGAAUUUCGGGAUUGACACAUCGGUCGUGCCUUAAGGGGUAUGAACUGGUGUAGUCAAUUUCUCACCUUCUGGAGAACCGCGAUGCCCUUAAUUGGGUGUCGCGGGGAACCAGGACCUUUACUUUGAAAAAUUAGAGUGUUUAAAGCAGGCAUUUUGCUUGAAUACAUUAGCAUGGAAUAAUAAAAUAGGACGGCAUGAUUCUAUUUUGUUGGUUUCUAGGAUCACCGUAAUGAUUAAUAGGGAUAGUUGGGGGCAUUAGUAUUCAAUUGUCAGAGGUGAAAUUCUUGGAUUUAUUGAAGACUAACUACUGCGAAAGCAUUUGCCAAGGAUGUUUUCAUUAAUCAAGAACGAAAGUUAGGGGAUCGAAGACGAUCAGAUACCGUCGUAGUCUUAACCAUAAACUAU